GAUGAACGCUGGCGGCGUGCUUAACACAUGCAAGUCGAACGGAAAGGCCCAAGCUUGCUUGGGUACUCGAGUGGCGAACGGGUGAGUAACACGUGGGUGAUCUGCCCUGCACUUCGGGAUAAGCCUGGGAAACUGGGUCUAAUACCGGAUAGGACCACUUCUUGGAUGUUGUGGUGGAAAGUUUUUUCGGUGUGGGAUGAGCUCGCGGCCUAUCAGCUUGUUGGUGGGGUAAUGGCCUACCAAGGCGUCGACGGGUAGCCGGCCUGAGAGGGUGUACGGCCACAUUGGGACUGAGAUACGGUCCAGACUCCUACGGGAGGCAGCAGUGGGGAAUAUUGCACAAUGGGCGCAAGCCUGAUGCAGCGACGCCGCGUGGGGGAUGACGGCCUUCGGGUUGUAAACUCCUUUCGCUAGGGACGAAGCGUUUUGUGACGGUACCUGGAGAAGAAGCACCGGCUAACUACGUG
RNAcentral lists this ribosomal RNA (467 nucleotides) under uncultured bacterium. RNAcentral's name for it is "partial 16S ribosomal RNA". It matches the Rfam family "Bacterial small subunit ribosomal RNA", at positions 28 to 507 of the family's 1533-position model. The record is from RNAcentral.